AUGGGGACAACAGUUGGAAACGACUGCUAAUACCCAAUAAGCCGAGAGGUAAAAGAUUUAUCGCUCGAAGAGGGGCUCGCGUCCGAUUAGCUAGUUGGUGGGGUAAGAGCUUACCAAGGCAGCGAUCGGUAGCUGGUCUGAGAGGACGAGCAGCCACACUGGGACUGAGACACGGCCCAGACUCCUACGGGAGGCAGCAGUGGGGAAUUUUCCGCAAUGGGCGAAAGCCUGACGGAGCAAUACCGCGUGAGGGAAGAAGGCUUUUGGGUUGUAAACCUCUUUUCUCAGGGAAGAAAAAAAUGACGGUACCUGAGGAAUAAGCAUCGGCUAACUCCGUGCCAGCAGCCGCGGUAAUACGGAGGAUGCAAGCGUUAUUCGGAAUUAUUGGGCGUAAAGCGUCCGCAGGUGGUACUUCAAGUCUGCUGUCAAAGACCGAAGCUCAACUUCGGGCAGGCAGUGGAAACUGAAGAACUAGAGUACGGUAGGGGUAGAGGGAAUUUCCAGUGUAGCGGUGAAAUGCGUAGAGAUUGGAAAGAACACCAGUGGCGAAGCGCUCUACUGGACCUGUACUGACACUCAGGGACGAAAGCUAGGGUAGCGAAAGGGAUUAGAUACCCCUGUAGUC
Molecule: ribosomal RNA, 625 nt
Filed under: uncultured Chroococcidiopsis sp.
Lineage: Bacteria; Bacillati; Cyanobacteriota; Cyanophyceae; Chroococcidiopsidales; Chroococcidiopsidaceae
Description: bacterial SSU rRNA
Rfam family: Bacterial small subunit ribosomal RNA
Source: RNAcentral